RNAcentral lists this ribosomal RNA (671 nucleotides) under Haliclona (Halichoclona) sp. A GPM-2011. Its description in RNAcentral is "eukaryotic LSU rRNA". It matches the Rfam family "Eukaryotic large subunit ribosomal RNA", at positions 647 to 1243 of the family's 3401-position model. The record is from RNAcentral. Lineage: Eukaryota; Metazoa; Porifera; Demospongiae; Haplosclerida; Chalinidae.
UCCGUCUUGAAACACGGACCAAGGAGUGCAAGAGGUGCGCAAGUCGGAAGGGUUUUUGCUGGGAGGUGUCGUCCUCGUGUCGGCUCCCCCCACCCGAGAGACCCAUGUGUUACUGGAACGGGCGAAGUGAGAGCAAUUUCGCGGGUGCGAGAGCCGCGGGGAGACUUGCGGCGCAUCGCUGGCCGAACCGUACGGUCACGCUGUGGCCGGUUUCGAGUGCGAGCGUAUCUGUUGCGACCCGAAAGAUGGUGAACUAUGCCUGAGGAGGGUGAAGCCAGAGGAAACUCUGGUGGAGGCCCGUAGCGGUUCUGACGUGCAAAUCGAUCGUCGCACUUGGGUAUAGGGGCGAAAGACUAAUCGAACCAUCUAGUAGCUGGUUCCCUCCGAAGUUUCCCUCAGGAUAGCUGGAGCUCGUUCCGAGCAGUUUCGUCGGGUAAAGCGAAUGAUUAGAGGUAUCGGGGUUGAAAGGACCUCGACCUAUUCUCAAACUUUCAAUCGGCGAGAAGGGAGCGUCUUUCCUACCGGAAGACGUCCCUCGAAUGCAGGGGCUCCAUGUGGGCCGUUUUUGGUAAGCAGAACCGGCGAUGCGGGAUGAACCGAACGUCGGGCUAUGGUGCCGGAGUCGACGCUGAGCAGAUACCAGGAAAGGUGUUGGUUGAUCCAGACAGCAG